GCUCUUGUAGCUUAGUUGGUUAGAGCACUCGUUUAGUAAGCGGGAGGUCUUGAGUUCAACUCUCAACAAGAGCA
Molecule: transfer RNA, 74 nt
Organism: Ipomoea nil (Japanese morning glory)
Lineage: Eukaryota; Viridiplantae; Streptophyta; Magnoliopsida; Solanales; Convolvulaceae
Rfam family: tRNA
About the family: Transfer RNA (tRNA) molecules are approximately 80 nucleotides in length. Their secondary structure includes four short double-helical elements and three loops (D, anti-codon, and T loops). Further hydrogen bonds mediate the characteristic L-shaped molecular structure. tRNAs have two regions of fundamental functional importance: the anti-codon, which is responsible for specific mRNA codon recognition, and the 3' end, to which the tRNAs corresponding amino acid is attached (by aminoacyl-tRNA synthetases). tRNAs cope with the degeneracy of the genetic code in two manners: having more than one tRNA (with a specific anti-codon) for a particular amino acid; and 'wobble' base-pairing, i.e. permitting non-standard base-pairing at the 3rd anti-codon position.
Source: Rfam